Long non-coding RNA from Perca flavescens (yellow perch), 291 nucleotides. RefSeq lists it as uncharacterized. Lineage: Eukaryota; Metazoa; Chordata; Actinopteri; Perciformes; Percidae. The record is from RefSeq and is a predicted model, not a curated record. The transcript has 3 exons.
UCGUCAACACUAAUAUUUCAGGCCAACUGGUAAAAUAGUUAUCUGUACACUGUUCUCUCCUCCAUAUCUCCUCCAGGGCUCCAUAAACAUGCGCUCACAGAAAAGAAGAAGUCAACAUAAGAAGCAGUCCGCCGUCUUCACAACUCUGAGACAAACUGUAGCAGACGCUACGAACCUGAGCAACGACUAACCUCGCCUCAUAACGAGGCUGUGACCUAUAUUUGCUCGGAGCUGUCUGCAGGUCCAGAUUUACAUGACGCUGCUGACGCCUGUUGUGAAGGGUUCAGCUCG